UACGUAGGGGGCAAGCGUUAUCCGGAUUUACUGGGUGUAAAGGGAGCGUAGACGGUAAUGUAAGUCUGAUGUGAAAGCCCGGGGCUCAACCCCGGGACUGCAUUGGAAACUAUGUAACUAGAGUACCGGAGAGGUAAGCGGAAUUCCUAGUGUAGCGGUGAAAUGCGUAGAUAUUAGGAGGAACACCAGUGGCGAAGGCGGCCUACUGGACGGUGACUGACGCUGAGGCUCGAAAGCGUGGGGAGCAAACAGG
This 253-nucleotide ribosomal RNA is filed under the name uncultured bacterium. RNAcentral describes it as "partial 16S ribosomal RNA". It matches the Rfam family "Bacterial small subunit ribosomal RNA", at positions 524 to 776 of the family's 1533-position model. The record is from RNAcentral.